UACGGAGGGAGCUAGCGUUGUUCGGAUAUACUGGGCGUAAAGCGCACGUAGGCGGCACCGUAAGUCAGGGGUGAAAUCCCGGGGCUCAACCCCGGAACUGCCUUUGAUACUGGUAGUCUCGAGUCCGGAAGAGGUGAGUGGAAUUCCGAGUGUAGAGGUGAAAUUCGUAGAUAUUCGGAGGAACACCAGUGGCGAAGGCGGCUCACUGGUCCGGUACUGACGCUAAGGUGCGAAAGCGUGGGGAGCAAACAGG
This 253-nucleotide ribosomal RNA is filed under the name uncultured bacterium. RNAcentral describes it as "partial 16S ribosomal RNA". It matches the Rfam family "Bacterial small subunit ribosomal RNA", at positions 524 to 776 of the family's 1533-position model. The record is from RNAcentral.